This 29-nucleotide non-coding RNA is filed under the name Macaca fascicularis (crab-eating macaque). The record is from RNAcentral. RNAcentral also lists the same sequence under 1 other name. Lineage: Eukaryota; Metazoa; Chordata; Mammalia; Primates; Cercopithecidae.
ACAGCUGAUAUCUCCUGGUGCUAUCCCCA